RNAcentral lists this ribosomal RNA (274 nucleotides) under uncultured bacterium. RNAcentral describes it as "partial 16S ribosomal RNA". It matches the Rfam family "Bacterial small subunit ribosomal RNA", at positions 523 to 796 of the family's 1533-position model. The record is from RNAcentral.
AUACGGAGGGUGCAAGCGUUACUCGGAAUCACUGGGCGUAAAGCGCGCGCAGGCGGCUUGAUAAGUUGGAUGUGAAAGCCUACGGCUCAACCGUAGAACUGCAUCCAAAACUGUCAAGCUAGAGUCUGGGAGGGGAAGAUGGAAUUAGUUGUGUAGGGGUAAAAUCCGUAGAGAUAACUAGGAAUACCAAAAGCGAAGGCGAUCUUCUGGAACAGUACUGACGCUGAGGCGCGAAAGCGCGGGGAGCAAACAGGAUUAGAAACCCCAGUAGUCC